This 193-nucleotide ribosomal RNA is filed under the name uncultured bacterium. Its description in RNAcentral is "partial 16S ribosomal RNA". It matches the Rfam family "Bacterial small subunit ribosomal RNA", at positions 335 to 525 of the family's 1533-position model. The record is from RNAcentral.
ACUCCUACGGGAGGCAGCAGUAGGGAAUAUUGGUCAAUGGAGGCAACUCUGAACCAGCCAUGCCGCGUGCAGGAAGACUGCCCUAUGGGUUGUAAACUGCUUUUGUACGGGAAGAAAUGUUGCUACGUGUAGCAAUUUGACGGUACCGUAAGAAUAAGGAUCGGCUAACUUCGUGCCAGCAGCCGCGGUAAUG